This 343-nucleotide unclassified non-coding RNA is filed under the name soil metagenome. Its description in RNAcentral is "partial contains 5.8S ribosomal RNA, internal transcribed spacer 2, and large subunit ribosomal RNA". The stretch from base 1 to 120 matches the Rfam family "5.8S ribosomal RNA", at positions 35 to 154 of the family's 154-position model. The record is from RNAcentral.
GAUGAAGAACGCAGCGAAAUGCGAUAAGUAAUGUGAAUUGCAGAAUUCAGUGAAUCAUCGAAUCUUUGAACGCACAUUGCGCCCGCUAGUAUUCUGGCGGGCAUGCGUGUCCGAGCGUCAUUUCAACCCUCAAGCCCCCGGGCUUGGUGUUGGGGAUCGGCGAGCCUCCGCGCCCGCCGUCCCCUAAAUCUAGUGGCGGUCUCGCUGUAGCUUCCUCUGCGUAGUAGCACACCUCGCACUGGGAAACAGCGCGGCCACGCCGUUAAACCCCCAACUUCUGAACGUUUGACCUCGAAUCAGGUAGGAAUACCCGCUGAACUUAAGCAUAUCAAUAAGCGGAGGA